UCAUAGGAUUGGCUUUGGCUUUGAGAAAGCUGUGACUAGGAGACCCCAAAUGAGGAUGUCUUGCCAGCUCUUCAUAUUUUGACGGGCUUUCCCAGCUCUGCCCUUCAGCUGGUCGGAAACCAUGGCCAUGGAAAGCCUCCUUUUUCGUUUGAUACAGACCCUCAAGCCAAACAGAUGGAGACUAUCACUCAAGUUCUUGGAAAUUCAGCAAGGAGUUCAGUGUCCUAAAAUGAGAAGAAGGAUGAAACAGAGAUCUGCCACCCACAGAACACUACAGGAGGUUUCUUCAUGAGGAAAGAUAGAGUUCUGCAUCUGCUCUGUAUUCAGCCCUGAGAUCCAGCUUCCGCAGCCCAAGGCAUGAUAAGGUACUGGUUUAUGGAAAAUAAAUACUCACGAAAGUAACGGUAUGGCAGACACCGUUUACCCCAAAGACACCAGACCUUGAAGGGAAACAUGGGAGUCAGUACUCUGUUACCUUCCAAAUAUUUCCCACCUGGGUUUAAAGCAAAGCACUCCAGAGAUGUUGGGUUGUUUGGCUCUGUGAGGGAAACUGUUUGGGCUUAAGACUUUGUGACUGACUGAGACUCAAGAAUCUGGGGCUGGGCUGCACCAAAUAGCCCUGGGCAGAGUGUUCUCUCCCUGGGCCACUGGAAGGUAAUUCAGCUCUUGUCUCCUAAGGGCAUUCGCUGCACUGAGCCCCUUGGAGGAUGACAACCAUAUUGUAUUCACCACAAUUCAAAUUUAAAUUAUCCUGCAUUAUGCUUCCUUGAAAUUCAAAGCCAAACUCAUCAGUGGCAAAGCCUGCAUUCUCUUAUCAGAAAAAUUCUUUUAGGAUCUAUUUAAUUCCUGUAAUUAUUUGGUUUGAAUCAUCUUCAACUCAGUUGUUUAUGAUAACCAUGCAGUCCAAAAUGACCUCCAAAAUCCUGGAGAAGCAUGGGGACCUGGGAAGCAUGGCAGUCUCUCCUCCCAAGAGCAAAGGAUCUUCCAGAUUGAGUCCCUUUUUGCCUUCUCCCUUCUUGGCCUUCAAGGCAGGAUUUCUACCAUGUCUUGGUAUUUUUGAUCACUGAGCUCUUCCUCUGCCAGCCAGCUCCAAAAUUCUUCAUUGAUGAGGAGCCAGAGAGCCCAGGCAGAAUACCAAUGCAUCUCUCUGUCCAGCAGGCAGCGCAUCUGUAUUUAUCAUGGUAGGAAUAAUAUCAGCAUUUGUUUAAGCAUUUUUUAUGGCCCGGAGGGGGGAAAAAUAUCUAUCAAAUUCAGUAAAUGUGUUUUACGUUGCAGCACUUUGAGAUCCAACCAUAUCAUCUGUAAUGAAAACAGA
This is a long non-coding RNA of Neofelis nebulosa (Clouded leopard), 1315 nucleotides long. RefSeq lists it as uncharacterized. The record is from RefSeq and is a predicted model, not a curated record. The transcript has 4 exons. Lineage: Eukaryota; Metazoa; Chordata; Mammalia; Carnivora; Felidae.